This 486-nucleotide ribosomal RNA is filed under the name uncultured bacterium. RNAcentral's name for it is "partial 16S ribosomal RNA". It matches the Rfam family "Bacterial small subunit ribosomal RNA", at positions 29 to 507 of the family's 1533-position model. The record is from RNAcentral.
AUUGAACGCUGGCGGCAUGCUUUACACAUGCAAGUCGAGCGGCAGCGCGGGGGCAACCCUGGCGGCGAGCGGCGAACGGGUGAGUAAUGCAUCGGAACGUAUCCUCGAGUGGGGGAUAACCCAGCGAAAGUUGGGCUAAUACCGCAUGAGCUCUGAGGAGGAAAGCGGGGGACCUGCGAGGGCCUCGCGCUGGAGGAGCGGCCGAUGUCCGAUUAGCUAGUUGGUGGGGUAAAGGCUUACCAAGGCGACGAUCGGUAGCUGGUCUGAGAGGAUGAUCAGCCACACUAGGACUGAGACACGGCCCAGACUCCUACGGGAGGCAGCAGUGGGGAAUUUUGGACAAUGGGCGCAACCCUGAUCCAGCCAUGCCGCGUGAGUGAAGAAGGCCUUCGGGUUGUAAAGCUCUUUCGGACGGAACGAAAUGGGCGGGACUAAUACCCCUGUCUGAUGACGGUACCGUAAGAAGAAGCACCGGCUAACUACGUG